CCCAGGCCUGCUCGGGCCCACCUCGUCGGAGACGAGCAGGAACCGCCUCCUCUCCUUUGCAUAUCGGCGAAGUGUAGUUCUCAAGAGCAUUGUGGGGCCGGUUGCUGCCCGAAUCUCUCUAGGGAAUGGGACCGAGUUGGGGACCCAGACUCCCUGGCCUUCAUGGCCACAGUCCUGUCGCCGCCCCACCAAAAGCCAAUCUCUAACAGCCCAGACACGUUUCGGACCGGGACCCACGCACAGGCCCCUCCCCGGUCUUGGAAGGCCCUUCCUCUGAGAACAAAGAGAUGUUGGGCCAGAUCAUCUUCCACGCUUCUUCAGCUCCGAGAUAGGAACGCGGUUCCCCACCACUCACAGGCCGGCUGCUCCUCACCCAUCCGGUCUCACUGGGACGCCACGUUCCUCAGGGAAGAAUCUGGAACGAUGAAGGUGAUGUUUGUGCCUGUGGCCAAGACCGGGAGAACCCUGGACCCCUACACCUUCCCCACCCCUGGAAUGUCACUAUACAUAUCUGACUUCUUCUGAUGUUGCCUUUGACCCUAAAGUCAAUAUGAUAAAGUAACAAGAAGCUGGGACAGAGGAACAAACACAGCCCACUCAAGCAGUGGUGGCAACAUUCUGUUAGAAAGGAAGGGAGUCAAAGAAAAAAACACCCCUCCGCCCAUCUCCUUAUCACCUCCCUAAAGACAGAGGAGAACAUGGACACCCUCCAUCCUGACAGAAUGCCAUGUGGUCAGUUUGUGCGGU
This 747-nucleotide non-coding RNA is filed under the name Pan troglodytes (chimpanzee). The record is from RNAcentral. Lineage: Eukaryota; Metazoa; Chordata; Mammalia; Primates; Hominidae.